AACGAACGCUGGCGGCAUGCCUAACACAUGCAAGUCGAACGAGACCUUCGGGUCUAGUGGCGCACGGGUGCGUAACGCGUGGGAACCUGCCCUUAGGUUCGGCAUAACUCCCCGAAAGGGGUGCUAAUACCGGAUAAUGUCUUCGGACCAAAGAUUUAUCGCCUUUGGAUGGGCCCGCGUUGGAUUAGCUAGUUGGUAGGGUAAAAGCCUACCAAGGCGACGAUCCAUAGCUGGUCUGAGAGGAUGAUCAGCCACACUGGGACUGAGACACGGCCCAGACUCCUACGGGAGGCAGCAGUGGGGAAUAUUGGACAAUGGGCGGAAGCCUGAUCCAGCAAUGCCGCGUGAGUGAUGAAGGCCUUAGGGUUGUAAAGCUCUUUUACCCGGGAUGAUAAUGACAGUACCGGGAGAAUAAGCUCCGGCUAACUCCGUG
RNAcentral lists this ribosomal RNA (433 nucleotides) under uncultured bacterium. RNAcentral describes it as "partial 16S ribosomal RNA". It matches the Rfam family "Bacterial small subunit ribosomal RNA", at positions 29 to 507 of the family's 1533-position model. The record is from RNAcentral.